GACUGUACAAAGGUAGCAUAAUAAUUUGUCUCUUAAUUGGAGACUGGAAUGAAUGAUUAGAUGAGAAUUAUACUUUCUUUAUUUUAUUAUAAAAAAUUAACUUUUAAGUUAAAAGGCUUAAAUGAUUUUAAGGGACGAGAAGACCCUAUAGAACUUUAUAUAGUUAUUUAUUAAUAAUGAUUAGUUUAUUUAUAAUUAUAACAAAUAAUUAUAUUUUAUUGGGGUGAUAAAAAAAAUAAAAUAACUUUUUUUAUUAAAAUCAUUUAUAUAUGAAUAUUUGAUCCAAUAUUAUUGAUUAUAAGAUUAAGUUACCUUAGGGAUAACAGCGUUAUUAUUUUAUAGAGAUCUUAUCGAUAAAAUAGUUUGCGACCUCGAUGUUGGAUUAAAAUUAACUAUAGGGGUAGAUUUUUAUAUGUUAAGUCUGUUCGACUUUUAAUUUUUUACA
Molecule: ribosomal RNA, 445 nt
Filed under: Punctifulvius kerzhneri
Lineage: Eukaryota; Metazoa; Arthropoda; Insecta; Hemiptera; Miridae
Description: partial large subunit ribosomal RNA
Source: RNAcentral